RNAcentral lists this transfer RNA (78 nucleotides) under Nocardioides sp. T2.26MG-1. RNAcentral's name for it is "tRNA-Val(gac)". The record is from RNAcentral. Lineage: Bacteria; Bacillati; Actinomycetota; Actinomycetes; Propionibacteriales; Nocardioidaceae.
CUCGAGCUCGCGGAGGCUGGUCACCGCGGUGGGUGACGCCCACCGCCGUGGCACCUCGAUCGCCUCGACGUUCGAGGC